This 77-nucleotide transfer RNA is filed under the name Flavobacteriales bacterium. RNAcentral's name for it is "tRNA-Ile". It matches the Rfam family "tRNA". Rfam says of the family: Transfer RNA (tRNA) molecules are approximately 80 nucleotides in length. Their secondary structure includes four short double-helical elements and three loops (D, anti-codon, and T loops). Lineage: Bacteria; Pseudomonadati; Bacteroidota; Flavobacteriia; Flavobacteriales. The record is from RNAcentral.
AGGGCAAUAACUCAGUAGGUCAGAGUAGCGUUCUUAUAAAGCGCCGGUCCCGGGUUCAAGUCCCGGUUGCCCUACCA